RNAcentral lists this ribosomal RNA (757 nucleotides) under uncultured archaeon. RNAcentral's name for it is "bacterial SSU rRNA". It matches the Rfam family "Archaeal small subunit ribosomal RNA", at positions 113 to 879 of the family's 1478-position model. The record is from RNAcentral.
CAUAAGAUCUGGUAACCUUGGGAACUGAGGUAAUACCGGAUAGGCGAAAACUUCUGGAAAAAGUUUUCUUUUAAAGGUAACGCCUAAGGAUGAGUUGGCGGUUGAUUAGGUAGUUGGUGGUGUAAAGGACCACCAAGCCGAAGAUCAAUAGGGGCCUUGAAAGAGGUAUCCUCGAGAAGGGCACUGAGAUACGGGCCCUAGCCCUACGGGAUGCAGCAGGCGCGAAAACUUUACACUACACGAAAGUGUGAUAAGGGAAUCCUAAGUGCUUUGCUUUUGCAAAGCUUUUUUCAAGAGUAAAUAUCUUGGAGAAUAAGUGGUGGGCAAGACUGGUGCCAGCCGCCGCGGUAACACCAGCGCCACAAGUGGGAACCAUAAUUAUUGGGCCUAAAGCGUCCGUAGCCUGUUUUGAAAAUCUUCUGUGAAAUCGUUAAGCUUAACUUAACGGAUUGCAGAAGAGACUUCAAAACUUGGGACCGGAAGGAGUCAGAAGUAUUUCUGGGGGAGCGGUAAAAUGUUAUAAUCCCAGAAAGACUACCUGUGGCGAAGGCGUCUGACUAGUACGGUUCCGACGGUGAGGGACGAAAGCUAGGGGAGCAAACCGGAUUAGAUACCCGAGUAGUCCUAGCUGUAAACGCUGCGAGCAAGGUGUCACAUAUUCCUAGAGAAUAUGUUGUGUCGAAACGAAGGUGAUAAGCUCGCCGCCUGGGGAGUAUGGUCGCAAGACUGAAACUUAAAGGAAUUGGCGGGGGAGCAC